This 502-nucleotide ribosomal RNA is filed under the name uncultured bacterium. RNAcentral's name for it is "partial 16S ribosomal RNA". It matches the Rfam family "Bacterial small subunit ribosomal RNA", at positions 29 to 507 of the family's 1533-position model. The record is from RNAcentral.
AGCGAACGCUGGCGGCGUGCCUAACACAUGCAAGUCGAACGUGAAAGGGAGCAAUCCCAAGUAAAGUGGCGUACGGGUGAGUAACACGUAGGUAAUCUACCCCAGCAUCUGGAAUAACCGGCCGAAAGGCUGGCUAAUACUGGAUAGAGCGACGGAAUCCGUAAUUGGGUUUUUCGGGAAAGGGAGCCUGUACAAAGGCCUUCGUUCUGGGAUGAGCCUGCGUCCCAUCAGCUAGUUGGUGAGGUAAAAGCUUACCAAGGCAAUGACGGGUAGCUGGUCUGGAAGGACGAUCAGCCACACUGGAACUGAAACACGGUCCAGACUCCUACGGGAGGCAGCAGUGGGGAAUCUUGCGCAAUGGACGAAAGUCUGACGCAGCAACGCCGCGUGAGUGAAGAAGGCCUUCGGGUUGUAAAGCUCUGUCGAGUGGGACGAAAAUGCUUGGAGUUCACAGCUCCAGGAACUGACGGUACCACUAAAGGAAGCACCGGCUAACUCCGUG